CCUACGGGGUGCAGCAGUAGGGAAUAUUGCACAAUGGGGGAAACCCUGAUGCAGCAACGCCGCGUGGAGGAUGAAGGUUUUCGGAUUGUAAACUCCUUUUGUUAGAGAAGAUAAUGACGGUAUCUAACGAAUAAGCACCGGCUAACUCCGUGCCAGCAGCCGCGGUAAUACGGAGGGUGCAAGCGUUACUCGGAAUCACUGGGCGUAAAGAGCGCGUAGGCGGGAUAGCAAGUCAGAUGUGAAAUGCUAUGGCUUAACCAUAGGACUGCAUUUGAACCUGUUAUUCUGGAGUAUAGGAGAGGUAAGUGGAAUUCUUAGUGUAGCGGUAAAAUCCGUAGAGAUCAAGAGGAAUACUCAUGGCGAAGGCGACCUGCUAGAACAUAACUGACGUUGAUGCGCGAAAGCGUGGGGAGCAAACAGGAUUAGAUACCCGUGUAGUC
This 440-nucleotide ribosomal RNA is filed under the name uncultured bacterium. RNAcentral's name for it is "partial 16S ribosomal RNA". It matches the Rfam family "Bacterial small subunit ribosomal RNA", at positions 338 to 795 of the family's 1533-position model. The record is from RNAcentral.